ACGAACGCUGGCGGUAUGCUUAACACAUGCAAGUCGAACGAACAAAAUUGGGGCUUGCUCCAAUUUUAGUGAGUGGCAAACGGGUGAGUAACACGUGGGAAUCUACCCAUCAGUACGGAAUAACAUUUGGAAACAAAUGCUAAUACCGUAUAUUCUCUAAGGAGGAAAGAUUUAUCGCUGAUGGAUGAGCCCGCGUAAGAUUAGGUAGUUGGUAGGGUAAUGGCCUACCAAGCCGACGAUCUUUAGCUGGUCUGAGAGGAUGAUCAGCCACACUGGGACUGAGACACGGCCCAGACUCCUACGGGAGGCAGCAGUGGGGAAUAUUGGACAAUGGGCGAAAGCCUGAUCCAGCAAUACCGCGUGAAUGAUGAAGGCCUUAGGGUUGUAAAGUUCUUUUAGUUGGGAAGAUAAUGACGGUACCAACAGAAAAAGCCCCGGCUAACUCCGU
This 448-nucleotide ribosomal RNA is filed under the name uncultured bacterium. RNAcentral describes it as "bacterial SSU rRNA". It matches the Rfam family "Bacterial small subunit ribosomal RNA", at positions 29 to 506 of the family's 1533-position model. The record is from RNAcentral.